RNAcentral lists this ribosomal RNA (468 nucleotides) under uncultured bacterium. RNAcentral's name for it is "partial 16S ribosomal RNA". It matches the Rfam family "Bacterial small subunit ribosomal RNA", at positions 28 to 507 of the family's 1533-position model. The record is from RNAcentral.
GACGAACGCUGGCGGCGUGCUUAACACAUGCCAGUCGAACGGAAAGGCCCUGCUUAUGUGGGGUGCUCGAGUGGCGAACGGGUGAGUAACACGUGAGUAACCUGCCCUUGACUUUGGGAUAACUUCAGGAAACUGGGGCUAAUACCGGAUAGGAGCUCCUGCUGCAUGGUGGGGGUUGGAAAGUUUCGGCGGUUGGGGAUGGACUCGCGGCUUAUCAGCUUGUUGGUGGGGUAGUGGCUUACCAAGGCUUUGACGGGUAGCCGGCCUGAGAGGGUGACCGGCCACAUUGGGACUGAGAUACGGCCCAGACUCCUACGGGAGGCAGCAGUGGGGAAUAUUGCACAAUGGGCGGAAGCCUGAUGCAGCAACGCCGCGUGCGGGAUGACGGCCUUCGGGUUGUAAACCGCUUUCGCCUGUGACGAAGCGUGAGUGACGGUAAUGGGUAAAGAAGCACCGGCUAACUACGUG